This 142-nucleotide ribosomal RNA is filed under the name Lachnospiraceae bacterium YSD2013. RNAcentral's name for it is "16S rRNA. Bacterial SSU". It matches the Rfam family "Bacterial small subunit ribosomal RNA", at positions 19 to 153 of the family's 1533-position model. The record is from RNAcentral. Lineage: Bacteria; Bacillati; Bacillota; Clostridia; Lachnospirales; Lachnospiraceae.
CUGGCUCAGGAUGAACGCUGGCGGCGUGCUUAACACAUGCAAGUCGAACGGAGUUUAGAUGAAACCUAGUGAUUCUAAACUUAGUGGCGGACGGGUGAGUAACGCGUGGGUAACCUGCCUUAUACCGGGGGACAACAGUUAG